GGGGAAUUGGUGUAGGGGUAUCACGUUUGCUUUGCAUGUAAAAGGUCAGGGGUUCAAAUCCCUUAUUCUCCA
Molecule: transfer RNA, 72 nt
Filed under: Trichoderma reesei QM6a
Lineage: Eukaryota; Fungi; Ascomycota; Sordariomycetes; Hypocreales; Hypocreaceae
Also listed under: 2 other names
Description: tRNA-Ala (TGC) (tRNA-Ala-TGC-3-1)
Rfam family: tRNA
About the family: Transfer RNA (tRNA) molecules are approximately 80 nucleotides in length. Their secondary structure includes four short double-helical elements and three loops (D, anti-codon, and T loops).
Source: RNAcentral